AUGUAUGGUCCCACUUUACCAGAAAAGCCACUGUCUUAUCCCUUACCUCCAUGCUUUCUUCAAACCAAAGAUGUAACCGGUAUAUUUAAAUACAUUAGUUCCACAAGGUAUAUAUCAAGUCCAUGUUCCCUAUACAUUAGCAUUAAUUCAGUUAAUCAAAUUUAUAUAAAGUUUAAUUUAUUAAUCAAUCUUUCAGUAAUCCAGUUGCCACAAUAUUGA
This is a non-coding RNA of Vicia faba (fava bean), 219 nucleotides long. The record is from the annotation of a GenBank genome assembly. NCBI's taxonomy places the organism in Eukaryota, Viridiplantae, Streptophyta, Magnoliopsida, Fabales, Fabaceae.